RNAcentral lists this ribosomal RNA (747 nucleotides) under uncultured Azonexus sp. Its description in RNAcentral is "bacterial SSU rRNA". It matches the Rfam family "Bacterial small subunit ribosomal RNA", at positions 28 to 769 of the family's 1533-position model. Lineage: Bacteria; Pseudomonadati; Pseudomonadota; Betaproteobacteria; Rhodocyclales; Azonexaceae. The record is from RNAcentral.
AUUGAACGCUGGCGGCAUGCUUUACACAUGCAAGUCGAACGGCAGCGCGGGGGCAACCCUGGCGGCGAGUGGCGAACGGGUGAGUAAUGCAUCGGAACGUAUCCUGUAAUGGGGGAUAACGUAGCGAAAGUUACGCCGAUACCGCAUACGCUCGAGAGAGGAAAGUGGGGGAUCGCAAGACCUCACGUUAUAGGAGCGGCCGAUGUCCGAUUAGCUAGUUGGUGGGGUAAAGGCCUACCAAGGCGACGAUCGGUAGCUGGUCUGAGAGGAUGAUCAGCCACACUGGGACUGAGACACGGCCCAGACUCCUACGGGAGGCAGCAGUGGGGAAUUUUGGACAAUGGGCGAAAGCCUGAUCCAGCCAUGCCGCGUGCGGGAAGAAGGCCUUCGGGUUGUAAACCGCUUUAGUCCGGGAAAAAGGGGUGCGAGGAUAAUACCCUUGUGCUUUGAUGGUACUGGAAGAAUAAGCACCGGCUAACUACGUGCCAGCAGCCGCGGUAAUACGUAGGGUGCGAGCGUUAAUCGGAAUUACUGGGCGUAAAGCGUGCGCAGGCGGUCUUGUAAGACAGUCGUGAAAGCCCCGGGCUUAACCUGGGAACUGCGAUUGUGACUGCAAGGCUAGAGUGUGUCAGAGGGGGGUGGAAUUCCACGUGUAGCAGUGAAAUGCGUAGAGAUGUGGAGGAACACCGAUGGCGAAGGCAGCCCCCUGGGAUAACACUGACGCUCAUGCACGAAAGCGUGGGGAGC